UACGGAGGAUGCGAGCGUUAUCCGGAUUUAUUGGGUUUAAAGGGUGCGUAGGCGGGAUCCCAAGUCAGCGGUAAAAAUGCGGUGCUCAACGCCGUCGAGCCGUUGAAACUGGCGUUCUUGAGUGGGCGAGAAGUAUGCGGAAUGCGUGGUGUAGCGGUGAAAUGCAUAGAUAUCACGCAGAACUCCGAUUGCGAAGGCAGCAUACCGGCGCCCUACUGACGCUGAGGCACGAAAGCGUGGGUAUCGAACAGG
This 252-nucleotide ribosomal RNA is filed under the name uncultured bacterium. RNAcentral describes it as "partial 16S ribosomal RNA". It matches the Rfam family "Bacterial small subunit ribosomal RNA", at positions 524 to 776 of the family's 1533-position model. The record is from RNAcentral.